UGGGGAAUCUUGCGCAAUGGGCGAAAGCCUGACGCAGCGACGCCGCGUGGGGGAGGAAGGCCUUCGGGUUGUAAACCCCUUUGGCCCGGGACGAACGACACGAUUCGUCGUGUGUGACGGUACCGGGAGAACAAGCACCGGCUAACUCUGUGCCAGCAGCCGCGGUAAUACAGAGGGUGCGAGCGUUGUCCGGAAUCACUGGGCGUAAAGGGCGCGUAGGUGGUCUUGUGCGCGUGCCGUGAAAGCCUGGGGCUCAACCCCAGGUCGGCGGUGCGAACGGCGAGACUGGAGCAUGCGAGAGGCAGGCGGAAUUCCGGGUGUAGCGGUGGAAUGCGUAGAGAUCCGGAAGAACACCGGGGGCGAAGGCGGCCUGCUGGCGCAGUUGCUGACACUGAGGCGCGACAGCGUGGGGAGCAAACAG
Molecule: ribosomal RNA, 421 nt
Filed under: uncultured bacterium
Lineage: Bacteria
Description: bacterial SSU rRNA
Rfam family: Bacterial small subunit ribosomal RNA
Source: RNAcentral